GGAGGAGUGGCCGAGUGGCCGAUGGCGACGGUCUUGAAAACCGUAGAGUGAAAGCUCCGUGGGUUCGAAUCCUACCUCCUCCGCCA
Molecule: transfer RNA, 86 nt
Filed under: Nitrospiraceae bacterium
Lineage: Bacteria; Pseudomonadati; Nitrospirota; Nitrospiria; Nitrospirales; Nitrospiraceae
Description: tRNA-Ser
Rfam family: tRNA
About the family: Transfer RNA (tRNA) molecules are approximately 80 nucleotides in length. Their secondary structure includes four short double-helical elements and three loops (D, anti-codon, and T loops).
Source: RNAcentral